Molecule: long non-coding RNA, 422 nt
Filed under: Mus spicilegus (steppe mouse)
Lineage: Eukaryota; Metazoa; Chordata; Mammalia; Rodentia; Muridae
Description: lncRNA (ENSMSIG00000003799.1)
Source: RNAcentral
CAAUCAUCCUAUUAUUCUCUUUUCAGUAACUUACUUCAAGGAUAGGUUCCUUCAAGCUAAGGCUUCCAUAGCUAUAGUGCAUUUGAAAACCUCCAGGUUAAAUUAUCUCUGAGGUUCUAAGACUCAGGAUGCUAAUUCCACAGUCCAAACCAAACUGUUUUGCAUAGCAGGGACCAAACACCAUCUCUUUGGUUUUAGAGAAGAGAAAUCAACACAGUCUAUUUUGCCUGACUUGUGGAAAGAUGCUGAUGGAGCUAAGACCUGAGGAGCAUCCUUUGAUGAGUCUACUUAGACAUGAACUGCACCAAGAGCAACUCGAACCAAAGGACACAUCAACAAACGACAACAACACUUCUCAUCAGGGAGGAGCUGGUGUGAGUCAGACUUGCACAUUGCCAGGUAAAAAAUGUAGGCUGUGUUGA